Vicia villosa (hairy vetch) is the source of this 731-nucleotide long non-coding RNA. RefSeq lists it as uncharacterized. The transcript is spliced from 3 exons. The record is from RefSeq and is a predicted model, not a curated record. NCBI's taxonomy places the organism in Eukaryota, Viridiplantae, Streptophyta, Magnoliopsida, Fabales, Fabaceae.
UCGAGAAUUUUACCAAUGGGUCAAAAUAAGUCAUUUCAUUUUCACCAUCCUAGAAGUGGUGAAGUUUGAUUUCUUCCCAUUUCAUUCCCGCCCAAAAUUCACAGUGCUCCUAAAAUCUUCCCCAAAAUUGUCGAAACCCUACAAUCUUCGUCCCUUGAUCUCAAAAAGUCCCUAAUCGUUUUGAUGUAACAAGCAUAUCUCAGUUCAAUCAAUGACAAAAUGCCCGAGCAUUAUUUUCCUGCUUCAAUCAAAAACCUAAUUGUACAGCACAUACUGAAUCAAUUCCUUCCUGCGAGCGAACCAUUACACGCCCACAAAACAAUGUAGCAAAGCUUUGAGCUUGUUGCGAGCAACAAAUUAGUUCAUCUUGCUUCAAUCGAAGGUUAGCAUCAAGGGAACAUUAUAUAUCUAUCAAGGGAAAUGUUGCAAUUGCACCUUCUAAUCUUCUGACAGAGCUCCAUUUGAAUUCCAUUAUAUCAAAGGAGAUUGCUGUUUCCCACUAAACAAAGGACCCAACGAGCUAAUUAAGUAAAGAGAUAAGUCACUACAAAAAUUUAUUCCAGGCUAAAGACUUAAAAGGACUUCAUGCAAUGUCUCGUUUUUUUGGGUCCUAUGAGAAAAAUAGAUCCAAGUGGACAAGUCUAUGGAAAAGGUAUAUUGUUUUCUUAAGUGCAAUGUCUCGAGUUUUUUUAUUAUUUUUAUUUUUAUCAAUCAAGUUGAGUUUUUAAACA